This 405-nucleotide ribosomal RNA is filed under the name Triticum aestivum (bread wheat). RNAcentral describes it as "partial small subunit ribosomal RNA". Lineage: Eukaryota; Viridiplantae; Streptophyta; Magnoliopsida; Poales; Poaceae. The record is from RNAcentral.
CAAUCUGCUAGUGUUGAUGAACAACCUGUUCAUACUCCUGAUAAUUAUGAUCCAAGAAAUUAGGAUAAUCAUGAUAAUAAAGCAAGAGACAUCUUAGUUGAGAAAGGGCCUAUGAGAGAGUAAAAGAUGGAAUGGCAAGUAGAUGAAGCAGGAAGAGAUUUUUCCUAUUCUCAUUAUCAUAGAUAAUUAGGCAAUGAAGAGCAACAUGAUAGGAAGUGGCUAGUUUAUCCAAAUGAUUUCGACAAAGUGUUUUGCUUUUGUUGCAAGAUCUUCAAGUCUAACACUAGCAGGAGUCAGAGUUCCAUAGCACGUGAUGGAUUACGACAUUGGAGGCAUAUUAAUGAGAAGCUUAAAAAUAUGAAAAAUAGUGUCAAGCAUAUUAAUAACAUGAAAAAUUGGAUUUAA